UACGUAGGGUGCAAGCGUUAAUCGGAAUUACUGGGCGUAAAGCGUGCGCAGGCGGUUUUGUAAGUCUGUCGUGAAAUCCCCCGGGCUCAACCUGGGAAAUGGCGAUGGAGACUGCAAGGCUAGAGUUUGGCAGAGGGGGGUAGAAUUCCACGUGUAGCAGUGAAAUGCGUAGAUAUGUGGAGGAACACCGAUGGCGAAGGCAGCCCCCUGGGUCAAAACUGACGCUCAUGCACGAAAGCGUGGGGAGCAAACAGG
This 255-nucleotide ribosomal RNA is filed under the name uncultured bacterium. RNAcentral describes it as "partial 16S ribosomal RNA". It matches the Rfam family "Bacterial small subunit ribosomal RNA", at positions 524 to 776 of the family's 1533-position model. The record is from RNAcentral.